UAGGGAAUCUUCCACAAUGGACGCAAGUCUGAUGGAGCAACGACGCGUGAGUGAAGAAGGUUUUCGGAUCGUAAAGCUCUGUUGUUGGUGAAGAAGGAUAGAGGUAGUAACUGGCCUUUAUUUGACGGUAAUCAACCAGAAAGUCACGGCUAACUACGUGCCAGCAGCCGCGGUAAUACGUAGGUGGCAAGCGUUGUCCGGAUUUAUUGGGCGUAAAGCGAGCGCAGGCGGAAGAAUAAGUCUGAUGUGAAAGCCCUCGGCUUAACCGAGGAACUGCAUCGGAAACUGUUUUUCUUGAGUGCAGAAGAGGAGAGUGGAAUUCCAUGUGUAGCGGUGGAAUGCGUAGAUAUAUGGAAGAACACCAGUGGCGAAGGCGACUCUCUGGUCUGCAACUGACGCUGAGGCUCGAAAGCAUGGGUAGCGAACAGG
Molecule: ribosomal RNA, 429 nt
Filed under: Bacillota bacterium
Lineage: Bacteria; Bacillati; Bacillota
Description: Firmicutes bacterium partial 16S ribosomal RNA
Rfam family: Bacterial small subunit ribosomal RNA
Source: RNAcentral